GGAGGCGGCGGCGGAGCGCACAUAGCGCCCGCGCUCGCUGCGCGGCCGUGGCGUGCACACGCGGGGCUCGGCACAGCCCCCGCUGCUCCCUUCCCGUACCCUCCGCCUCUGUCCCUACUAGUACCCGUGCCCGUGCCGCCGGGCGGAAAGUUCCGCGGGCAGCUGCCCGGCGCAGCACCCCGACACCUCCCCAGCCCCAUCUCCGCGCGGUCGGCGGGGCUCCGCGGUCGCCAAAGUUGCGGCGGGGCCGGGGGCGGCCGCGGCUGCCAGCCAUCAAGUGGCUCGUUAAGGAAAUGCAGUUCCUUCUGGGCCUGUGUGGACUAGGGGCACAAUCCGUCGCCUGACUGGCAGGAGGGGAAAGCGGAGACUCCUUCAGGUUUCCAAAGAGGUCCGAGCGGACAGCAUUAGGAAAACUUGAAGAGUCUUACACUUUUAAUCCUCCAGUCAUUGAUUGUGCUGUGAGGACACUGUGGUGAGGUGGUAAGUUGAUUUAGAUCUUUUAUGAUCAGUUAAAGUUCAAUUUCAGAUUUAAUUAAUAAAACACUAUCAUUAUAGAGUUUACACUGUCUGUUUAACAAAACUUGAGAAUUGUCUUCCUUGUUUUCUUGGCAAACCCCAAAAUUUUAAGUCUACAAUUAGCCUGUUGCGUAGGAAGUCCGAAUUGUAUCAGAUUUAAUCUAUAUUUACAAUUUCAACUUUAUAUCAUAUAAACAGCACAGUUGUUCACACAUACUCAGUACAUACAUUCCUGAAAUCCUAAGCUUCUAUAUGUCUGGAAAUUGGGUGAUAACUGUAAUUACUUAUGUAGAGCUUGCAUCCCUCAGCAAUGUUUGAUACUUUUAUCUUCACAGAUUCCACCCCAACCCAUC
Oxyura jamaicensis (ruddy duck) is the source of this 869-nucleotide long non-coding RNA. RefSeq lists it as uncharacterized. The transcript is spliced from 3 exons. The record is from RefSeq and is a predicted model, not a curated record. NCBI's taxonomy places the organism in Eukaryota, Metazoa, Chordata, Aves, Anseriformes, Anatidae.